GUCCCCUUCGUCUAGAGGUCUAGGACAUCGCCCUUUCAUGGCGGCAACAGGGGUUCAAAUCCCCUAGGGGACGCGA
Molecule: transfer RNA, 76 nt
Filed under: Buchnera aphidicola (Stegophylla sp.)
Lineage: Bacteria; Pseudomonadati; Pseudomonadota; Gammaproteobacteria; Enterobacterales; Erwiniaceae
Description: tRNA-Glu
Rfam family: tRNA
About the family: Transfer RNA (tRNA) molecules are approximately 80 nucleotides in length. Their secondary structure includes four short double-helical elements and three loops (D, anti-codon, and T loops). Further hydrogen bonds mediate the characteristic L-shaped molecular structure. tRNAs have two regions of fundamental functional importance: the anti-codon, which is responsible for specific mRNA codon recognition, and the 3' end, to which the tRNAs corresponding amino acid is attached (by aminoacyl-tRNA synthetases). tRNAs cope with the degeneracy of the genetic code in two manners: having more than one tRNA (with a specific anti-codon) for a particular amino acid; and 'wobble' base-pairing, i.e. permitting non-standard base-pairing at the 3rd anti-codon position.
Source: RNAcentral